Papaver somniferum (opium poppy) is the source of this 2470-nucleotide long non-coding RNA. RefSeq lists it as uncharacterized. The transcript has 4 exons. Lineage: Eukaryota; Viridiplantae; Streptophyta; Magnoliopsida; Ranunculales; Papaveraceae. The record is from RefSeq and is a predicted model, not a curated record.
GUUCUCCCUAGCUAAUUCCCUCUUUUAAUCACAACCAACAUCGUUACCAUCUUCAUUAGAACCAAACCUUCAUUUUCGUCGAAGAAGAACCAGCAGAUGAACUGUUUCUUCUCCAUUUUUGUUUCACUUUUAUGAAGUAAACCCUAGAUUCAGUUUUUUUUUCUUCCUCUUCAAAAUCUCUAACCCGAUUCUAAUCUAAGUUGAUAGAUGGUCACUAUGUUAUAAUCUAGAUUACCCAUAGCAUGUUUUCGUUCUCAAAUCAUCUACGAUUUAUAAAUUUUCGACCUAACAAGGGAAAUUAGAGUUAAUCGAUUGCAAGUGUUUUUCUCUGUUAUUGUGGGUGUUGUUGGCACGAGAUUUCCCCCAAAAAUUCCUUCUCAUUUUUCAGAAGAUUUCUUUAUAAACCCAGUUUGACAGUCAUUAACUCUUUCAGUAUAAUCAAUGCUAAAGAUUCGAUAUUUGCUGUAAAUGAAUGUGACUAGAAGAUGUCAAUGACUACUACCUUGAAAGCUUGGAGGUAAGUGAUGUAUGAUGUGGCUAAUUUUUUGUUUGUGAUGCAGGGGAGAGAUAUGAUAGGUAGAGAAAGAACUGGUACAUGGAGAAAAUCAUGAAAUUUAAUGAGGCACAUGGAACCAGGAUGAGAUGAUCAAGUUAGGAAGGCUCUCUGAAUCCUACAAGUGAAUUGGAGAGUGUUUUGGACGAACAGUCAAGGAGAAAGUGUUUGGAUCAUUGUGGAGAGGAAACACAUCCAAUGUCAUCCGUUACUUCCCUACUCCGGUUGGAUCAUAUGUGUUGUCAAUCGAAAGAGUAAAAGGAGAAAGAUUUCGUCUACUCAAUUUAUGAGGUUUAAUCUCAAUCUCAGUCAAGUUCAAUUUGGAUUAUUUAAUCUUUUCUAUGAUGCUUUUGUGAUACUAUUUAACCUCAGUAGUUGUAGUGAUUUAGUUUUAUAUAUGAAAUCACUCAAAAGAAAUGUUCACUAUUUUGAAAAUUUUACGAUGGGUUUGUCCAAGUAGCUCUGUUAAUCUAUACGGUGACUGUUUAUGACAUCUAAGAUUGUUAACCCCAUAUAAAAAAAUAUGAUAGGUGCUUGUCUCCCAAUCAUUGAUUUGCUAAGAAUCUUAAGAUUAUGUCUAAGUUCAGCACAUGCAUAAGGUUUGACCUUGAUUUCAUAAAUCCUGCUAAGACUAGCAGUGCUUUUGAAACUCAGCUUGUGACAUAUGAGUUUGUGUUCUUAGUACUUUAAAUUAUCAUUUCAAUAGUAAAUGGUUACGUUGUCUGAAUAUGCUUGAAUACUUAUUUCUUCCGGUUGAAAUGUCAAAUUUGUACUCCAUGUAGGAUUGUUUCUGGUUGCCGGUAAAUGCCUAUUCAGUGGUUGCAGUCUUAAUUUGAUUGAUUUUAUUUUAUUGAACUUGUGGGAUAUAAAGUACAAAGUUAACUUUUUAUAUUUUGGAUUUCUAGUAGUCCUGUUAUUAGGGAUGAAUGAUCUUCGAUGUUGAUCAUCAUAAUAAGGACAGUUUCAGUAUGCCUAUAUCAAUAUAAUAAAAUCAAUGGUUUGAUGUAUAAUUGAUGAGUGGAUAAUCAGUGUAGGCUUAGCUGUUACGAAUGGGAUCUUUCUUAAUUUAAAUUUGACUGUUCUACGGUUGAUCAUAGUCUGGGUGUCUGUAUCAUCUUGGUUGGGUAAAUCAUUUUAAUUUGAAUCAUUUAUUGCACUUGCUAACAUUUGUGAAAAUAUAUAUUGUUGCCGUACAUUUCCAAUCAAUCAGUCUCUUAUUCUAAGAUUCUUACUUACGUUACUUUGAGUCGUCUGUCAUUUAACAUCUACUAUGAGAUUAUUAAAAAGAAAGUACAGUUGGUAUAUUGUCUUGUGAAAUGGUUAGUGUCGAUUGUUUGUGACAAUAAAAUAUGAUAAAAUGUAUCUCAUAGGGAUCAAUAAGCCCUAUGUAUGGGUGUCAAUGUCGUGAUCCUGGUUUGAGAGUUCUGUUAUUUCUCUACCAAAAUUGUAAUGGAUUUAUGUCAAAACUUGGCAUGUGCUUGAUAUGCUAGAGGAAUCAAGGAAAUGCGUAGUGAUUUGUCGCAGUGGCGUGUCCAUUUUACAUUCCCCUUAUAGUGUUCGUUAGUGCGCGUCUUUAGUUUGAUGCUCACAUGCUUCUUCACAUGUUCUCAAAAACAAACGAUACAAAGAGAAAUCAAAUAUCCAAACAAUGAAACUUAAUGAACAAGAGGAACCACUUGAAAAUGGAGGUAGAAGAACGGAGAGCAGGGAACCCAGGAAGAGGAGGCUGUUGAGGUCGAUGCUGAUUUUACAAAUGGCGUUGUACUUGUAAACAGUAAUGAAGCUGAAGAAGAGUGGUGUAUGAAUAAUGAAGGAAACUUAUCAUCCUAAAAACUAUUGGUUUGGCUAAAUAGGUAUGUAAGUUCUGAAACUACUUUGAAAUAGGCAAACAAGUAAUUGCUGCUAGUUUUUGUUUUA